This 497-nucleotide ribosomal RNA is filed under the name uncultured bacterium. Its description in RNAcentral is "partial 16S ribosomal RNA". It matches the Rfam family "Bacterial small subunit ribosomal RNA", at positions 28 to 507 of the family's 1533-position model. The record is from RNAcentral.
GAUGAACGCUGGCGGCGUGCCUAAUACAUGCAAGUCGAGCGAACAGAUAAGGAGCUUGCUCCUUUGACGUUAGCGGCGGACGGGUGAGUAACACGUGGGUAACCUACCUAUAAGACUGGGAUAACUUCGGGAAACCGGAGCUAAUACCGGAUAACAUUUGGAACCGCAUGGUUCUAUAGUGAAAGAUGGUUUUGCUAUCACUUAUAGAUGGACCCGCGCCGUAUUAGCUAGUUGGUAAGGUAACGGCUUACCAAGGCGACGAUGCGUAGCCGACCUGAGAGGGUGAUCGGCCACACUGGAACUGAGACACGGUCCAGACUCCUACGGGAGGCAGCAGUAGGGAAUCUUCCGCAAUGGGCGAAAGCCUGACGGAGCAACGCCGCGUGAGUGAUGAAGGGUUUCGGCUCGUAAAACUCUGUUAUUAGGGAAGAACAAAUGUGUAAGUAACUGUGCACGUCUUGACGGUACCUAAUCAGAAAGCCACGGCUAACUACGUG